GGCGCAGCCUGAUCCAGCCAUGCCGCGUGAGUGAUGAAGGCCCUAGGGUUGUAAAGCUCUUUCACCGGUGAAGAUAAUGACGGUAACCGGAGAAGAAGCCCCGGCUAACUUCGUGCCAGCAGCCGCGGUAAUACGAAGGGGGCUAGCGUUGUUCGGAUUUACUGGGCGUAAAGCGCACGUAGGCGGACUUUUAAGUCAGGGGUGAAAUCCCGGGGCUCAACCCCGGAACUGCCUUUGAUACUGGAAGUCUUGAGUAUGGUAGAGGUGAGUGGAAUUCCGAGUGUAGAGGUGAAAUUCGUAGAUAUUCGGAGGAACACCAGUGGCGAAGGCGGCUCACUGGACCAUUACUGACGCUCAGGUGCGAAAGCGUGGGGAGCAAACAGGAUUAGAUACCCUGGUAGUCCACGCCGUACACGAUGAAUGUUAUCCGUUGGGGAGUUUACUCUUCGGUGGUCGCAGCUCACGCAUUACACAUUCCGCCUGGCGAGUACGGUCGCAAGAUUAAGCUCACAGGAAUUGACGCGGGGCCCGCAUCAAGCGGUGGACGCAUGUGGUUUACUUCGAAGCAACGCGUUAUACACCUCUCACCAGGCCCUUGACAUAUCGGUCGCGGACACAGAGAUGUGUCUUGUCACUUCGGCUGGACUCGGCACACAGGUGCUGCAUCGCAUAUGAGAUCA
Molecule: ribosomal RNA, 680 nt
Filed under: Ochrobactrum sp.
Lineage: Bacteria; Pseudomonadati; Pseudomonadota; Alphaproteobacteria; Hyphomicrobiales; Brucellaceae
Description: bacterial SSU rRNA
Rfam family: Bacterial small subunit ribosomal RNA
Source: RNAcentral